This 446-nucleotide ribosomal RNA is filed under the name uncultured bacterium. RNAcentral's name for it is "partial 16S ribosomal RNA". It matches the Rfam family "Bacterial small subunit ribosomal RNA", at positions 338 to 795 of the family's 1533-position model. The record is from RNAcentral.
CCUACGGGUGGCAGCAGUCGAGAAUCAUUCACAAUGGGGGAAACCCUGAUGGUGCGACGCCGCGUGGGGGAAUGAAGGUCUUCGGAUUGUAAACCCCUGUCAUGUGGGAGCAAAUUAAAAAGAUAGUACCACAAGAGGAAGAGACGGCUAACUCUGUGCCAGCAGCCGCGGUAAUACAGAGGUCUCGAGCGUUGUUCGGAAUCACUGGGCGUAAGGCGUGCGUAGGCUGUUUCGUAAGUCGUGUGUGAAAGGCGCGGGCUCAACCCGCGGACGGCACAUGAUACUGCGAGACUAGAGUAAUGGAGGGGGAACCGGAAUUCUCGGUGUAGCAGUGAAAUGCGUAGAUAUCGAGAGGAACACUCGUGGCGAAGGCGGGUUCCUGGACAUUAACUGACGCUGAGGCACGAAGGCCAGGGGAGCGAAAGGGAUUAGAUACCCGAGUAGUC